UCGAUGCGAAUGAAGCAUGUGAAAGGACGGUAACACCGCCCGCCGGAACUGUCGGCGAACGGUGGCCCUCCGCUCCGGCCUGAAAAGAACUAAACUAAGUCCGGUGGAACCCGAUCCUAUCGAUCGAUAAGGUCGGUUGAGAGCUGAUCGGUUGUAACUUUUGACAGCAAGUUCUAAGAUGGUGUGAUGGCAGGAAUCAAGUUUUUUUUCCCUCUUUGAAGACAAUGAUGAGCAGCAAUUGAGUACUGGUGCUAGGAUUGACAGCAAGAGUGGUUGAAGUUUGUUUAAAUUAGGGGAGUCAAAAGAAGUCAAGCUCAACUUGUCACUUUCAUCUAGUUAUGGUGGUCAAGGCCAUGUGAGCCAUGAUUUCAAAAGGUACAAAAGUUUUUUUUUUUUUCUCUUUUUUGUUUGGAUGACAACUAAUAGACCAUCAAUGGCUAUCCAUUACUCACCAUCCAACCAGUGAAAUGUGGAAAAUCAAACACAAUCGCCAUUUUUAACACCAAAAGGUAGGUGGUUGAAGGAGCUUUGAAAGCUUUGCAUCUCAUUUUGUCAAGGUUUCGAUGAUGCCAUUGCCAAAGAGGAAGCCUUUUACUUUUGUUCAAAAAAGAAAUCUCUUGUAAAUGAUUGUGAGAAAACUAGGCUGAGAUUGUAGGAAAAGGAAUUAUGAGAUAGCAAACAGAGCAAUAAAACAGGGUCCUCAUUUGUUAGGUAAUUACUAAUUAGGUAUUUUGUUUCUGUGGUUAGGAUGACAGUUUGAGUCCAAAUUUUAAUGAAUUCAUAUAAUUCAA
Non-coding RNA from Momordica charantia (bitter melon), 791 nucleotides. The record is from RefSeq and is a predicted model, not a curated record. NCBI's taxonomy places the organism in Eukaryota, Viridiplantae, Streptophyta, Magnoliopsida, Cucurbitales, Cucurbitaceae.